RNAcentral lists this ribosomal RNA (453 nucleotides) under Casinaria grandis. RNAcentral's name for it is "partial 28S ribosomal RNA". Lineage: Eukaryota; Metazoa; Arthropoda; Insecta; Hymenoptera; Ichneumonidae. The record is from RNAcentral.
CCUGAGAAACCCAAAAGUUCGAAUGGAGAGAUUCAUCGUCAGCGAUCCUGGCAAUUGUGCGGUUCGCGAUGUCGGGGGCUUCGUCCUCGUGGCACGCGUCCGUAUGAUUUAUUUGCCGGGUGUCGUCGUCGUGCACUUCUCCCCUAGUAGGACGUCGCGACCCGUUGGGUGUCGGUCUACGACCCGGGUGGGUGCCCGUCAUGUGUUACGCUUUACGGCUGUCAUGUGGCAGACCCCCGGUUGUCCGACCAGCUGCCCGGCGGUACUCGCACGGUAUCGAGCCGCAAUUAAUCGAACUGCGUCCGGCCCGCCGCAAGCGAGGCCAGUGUUUUCCCGGAUGUACGGACUUAGCGCCGUCACCGGGCCUGGCCAGCUGUUGGCCGGCGGUGUCCUGGGACUGGCUCUAUAAUAGAAUACCGGUCGGCGACGCUACUGCUUUGGGUACUUUCAGGA